UCCAACCGACUUUGGGGAACAGUGGCGCACACACGCACUAUAACGAAAUAUACAAAAAGGUACAAACUAGAUAGCAACAGAAUAGACCUCACUCGAAAAUCUAUAAAUUAUCUACGGCAGAUAUUUGCAUAGGCUUUAGUAUCGGCGGUUUCUCACAUAUCCCCAGACAAUGCAGCAGGGCCAUUAUCAGAAAUACAAAUUACGAUAAACAAAUGAGGACUCCAUUCUCAGUUCUGAAAGUAAUUCACAGAAACUUGUCACUUCUCAUUUUUUUGAAUCAUCAAGAAAACAGAAGGCAUCAAUGGUACGUUUGAAUAUUUGCAAGAAUUGGCAAAUAAAAAGCAGGAGAAAGGAAAAGAAAGUGGAAACGUAGUAUCUGGUUAUACUCUCUGCUAAUUGGUACAAUGACUUCAUAUAAUCUGUCUGUUCUAAGGAAUAAGGAUGA
This 445-nucleotide long non-coding RNA is filed under the name Nicotiana benthamiana. RNAcentral describes it as "long non-coding RNA (NBEN_LNC006864)". The record is from RNAcentral. Lineage: Eukaryota; Viridiplantae; Streptophyta; Magnoliopsida; Solanales; Solanaceae.